UACAGAGGGUGCGAGCGUUGUCCGGAAUCACUGGGCGUAAAGAGCGUGUAGGCGGUUUGGUAGGUCCGCUGUGAAAACUCGGGGCUCAACCUCGAGACGCCGGUGGAAACCAUCAGACUAGAGUCCGGAAGAGGAGAGUGGAAUUCCUGGUGUAGCGGUGAAAUGACGCAGAUAUCAGGAAGAACACCCGUGGCGAAAGCGGCUCUCUGGAACGGUACUGACGCUGAGACGCGAAAGCGUGGGGGAGCGAAACAGG
RNAcentral lists this ribosomal RNA (256 nucleotides) under uncultured bacterium. RNAcentral's name for it is "partial 16S ribosomal RNA". It matches the Rfam family "Bacterial small subunit ribosomal RNA", at positions 524 to 776 of the family's 1533-position model. The record is from RNAcentral.